This 1081-nucleotide long non-coding RNA is filed under the name Marmota monax (woodchuck). Lineage: Eukaryota; Metazoa; Chordata; Mammalia; Rodentia; Sciuridae. The record is from RNAcentral.
CGGAACGUAGCCUGGAGCUGCGAAGCGCCGGCCAGGAUUUGAAAACCCGGCGUUGUAAAGGAUGAGAAAGGCCAAAUGCUGAAUGUCCGCUGGACACUAAUGGCAGGGGAAGCGCGCGGAUGGUGAAGUUGGUCGGGGAGACGGGGAAUCGCUUCGCAACUCUGACUCUAGCUCUGAGAGGAGGGGCUGGGAGAGAAAUGGCGAAGCAAGUUCUAAAACCUGUGUGCUCUGGUGGACUUGAGUACAAGGUCGAGAGUUCUCUGUGGGCCCUGUAAGGCCCUGAUGGAGGAGAAGAUAGGGGCCCGACUCUGGGCCUCCGAGGUCAGAGAAGGCUUGGGAGCCUGCAGUUCUCUAACCGAGGGCGAUUGCCUUUCGUUGAGCAUCCCUGAGUGCCAGUGACUCACUUUGCGCACAUUUAUCAGUCUUGGAUUGUGUGCCAGCUUCACAUCAAGUCUGAGUUAUCGUUCUUUUACUAUUGAGGUAGCUAAGGGUCCGGGCAAUUUAUUGUCCUGGCCAAGACCUCUUAGUAAAUAUAGUGUCGGGAUUUGCACUCGAAAUGGACGUGUCCUGAAAGCCUGUGCUGUGUCUACUAUAUCCAAGUGCUAGUUGAGUUAUAGAAGAGGGGGCCUGUGCCACCGGUGUUGCAAAGUAAAAUGCAAGAAUAUCCCUUACAUUCUGCCUUUUUUCCAUUUAAGAAACCAUCAUGGGGCAAACAACUUGCCCUCUGGCUACAUGGGCUGACAGACAUUACCUGGAGACUUUAUCUCUCCACCUCCUAGGUUUUCAAAAAGGCAAUACGUGUGUGUUGACAGUAAUAUUCAAAGGUAGGUAUUAAAAAAUUGCCUUUGAGUAGGAUCCUCUAAUGUGACUUCUUUGUGGAUUCAGUUUUCCUUAUGUUAAAAAAAAAAAUCAGGCUACAGAAUUUCUAAACACCCUUCCAUUUUUACUAUCCUGUUUUUCAGUUACAUUCAAUAGUAGAAGAAAAGUGGCUCUGGAAUUAGAUUUUAGUGCCAGCAGUAUGACCUCAUGAUUUGUAAUUGAGGUUAAUAAUUGCAUAGUUAGUCUAUUGAACGACCGAGGA